Molecule: long non-coding RNA, 1617 nt
Filed under: Homo sapiens (human)
Lineage: Eukaryota; Metazoa; Chordata; Mammalia; Primates; Hominidae
Description: long independently transcribed non-coding RNA 3060, transcript variant 2 (LINC03060)
Source: RNAcentral
AUGAGAAUCUAACGCCUGAUGACCUAUCACUGUCUCCCAUCACUCCCAGAUGGGACCGUCUAGUUGCAGGAAAACAAGCUCAGGGCUCCCACUGAUUCUACAUUAUGAUCAACUGCAUGGGGUCCUACAGGAGAAGACCAAGAGACAGAGACAGAGACCAGGGAAAAUGACCGAUACCAUUCCUUCUCAGGGAUGCUACACACCCAUGGGGCAGAGGAUAAGAGGUUCCUGAAGGCAUCACCCCUCUGGCCAUGGCUGGUGUGCAGACAAAGCUGGAGAUUUGGAGUAGCCUGUUGUCCCACUGACUCUUAGACUGCCCCAGCUAAGAAGAACCAACUCCUCCUAUUACAGAUGAAAUAAACAAAGCUACUCAAGCUCUCUGGCAUCGCCCUGACGCACACCAAAGAGAGUUCUAGAAAAAAUGAGAAUAAGAAAUUUACCUGUAAUCCUUGCUCAAGAAACUGAAGCUCUGAGGCCACAUUGUUCCAGCCUUUUGCAGCUCCUGCAUGUGGAUACCAGCACCAGCAGCUCCCCGACCAGGGGCCCCAGCUAAGCCCUCCCAGAGGAUGAUCUUGGCUUUGUACAUGGGGUGUCAAUAUCCUGUGAGUCCAACAGAGGGAAGACAUAAGAAUAUGGUCACCCAGGUAACAGACAUUUGUCUUAAUGUAUUCACUGUGUCAUCAGAAGCCACUUCUUAUCCAUCCUUGUGAAUACUUGAUGAAUGAGGAGUCAAUGAUUAAAUGAAGGAAAGAAAAGAGACUGAAAAGGAGGUUUUGUACAGAGGAAAUCCAGGCUCCUAACGAUGGCGAAAGAUGGGAAUAAAAGGAUCAGAACACUGAGCUGGAUCUUCAGUUCAUUUCAGGUAUGGAGAAGGGUAAAUGGUCUUUAAAGAAGGCCGACCUCAAUGAAGGUGUCUUCCAAGGCCUUGUCCACUCAAGGACAUGUUGCAUGCCUGAAACUGAGUAUACAGGAAAAGGAUAGAAAUGGAAUAAAAUGGAAACCCAUAAAUCACACUACCCUGCUAUGCAGUUUCAAACCACUGACUUAAUGAAAUGUUGAUCCACUUUGCCAUGGAUGCCCCACUUUUUAACUCCUUCUUCAGAGUCCCAGGAGGUGAGGCUCUUCUGUUUAACUGAUUUGCAGAAUUUUUGCUUCUGCUAUUACAAUGGCUUCCAUAGUUGAGUACCAAAGACACUUUACUAUGGUGCCACAGAGAUCAUUUUGCAGAUGAGGAAACAGACUGUUCUACUACCCAGGCUUUGGUUUUUUCUACUCAGUCUUGCACAAUCUCUCACUCUCAGCCCAGAACAUUGCUGCAUUUUUGUGAGCCAUCAGCAUCCAAAGUGAACACAGGGUCUAAAUAACUGAAGAUGGCAUGAGGGAACACACAAUCAGGUCUUUAAAAAAAGAAGAAAGUGAAUAGGCAAACUGAACAGGACAUCUAGGACUGAAAAGCCUCUGUGAACAACUGGACUCAAUAUGAAAUUGGCGUGAGCUCACAGAAGACCAGCUGAGUUCCAGAUGUGGUUGGGUAGCUUGGGUUAUGGGCCCGUAUAAAAAAAAUGGUCUCUUCUUGUAAAAGGAAUUCAAAAAAAGACUAAAAGUCACCCCAAAGAG